RNAcentral lists this long non-coding RNA (213 nucleotides) under Phasianus colchicus (ring-necked pheasant). Its description in RNAcentral is "lncRNA (ENSPCLG00000019667.1)". The record is from RNAcentral. Lineage: Eukaryota; Metazoa; Chordata; Aves; Galliformes; Phasianidae.
CUAAUUGUCACUAAUUAUCUUACGGAAGCAUUGACUUUCACUUAUUUCUUAACUGAUCUCUAACAGGAGUACCUGUUCUAGAGAAAAGAAAGUUGAACAGAUCAUGAAUAAGAUAUCUAUACCAAAAUAACCAAAAAUGCUCAGAUAAAAAACCAUGUUAUUUUCCUUCAGAAAAUUGCAUGCAGCAAUUGCUGACAUCACUGGUGAUUUGUC